UGUACUUGUUUGUGGUGGUCUCGUUGUCUAUGGAUUCGGUGACGGAGUCUGUGUCCGUGGUGUCUGGAGGGGCCGUGGCUUUCGUGCGGCGCAGGAACGGCUGCCGGGAUUUUGCGGUCUGUGGAGGAAAAAUCAUGAUGAAUAAAGCAGUUAAGAAGAUCCUGUUUUGCGAAGACAACGGGGGUUGACGAUGCAAGGACAAAUUCGGACGAAGACAUUUAAAGAAGGCUGCUAGAAGAUAUUGCUGAUAUGGACGCUUUAGUCCUAGUUCCCAGCGUAAAGAAGGAUUAAACAAAUAAACUUCAAAGAAACAAAUGAAAACAUGAGAACGGGUCAGAAUAAGGCAUGAAGCCGAUUCUAAAUUUGUAAAAUAAAAUUACCGUGGUUGUGUCUUUACUUAAACUACCCCCGAACUACCCUAAAUUUAAGUAACUAGUCACUAGUUUACCUUAGGUAAGUAAUCGUGUAGCUUGAUUGAAAUGAAUUCUUAAAUAUUUUUCUUA
Molecule: long non-coding RNA, 503 nt
Organism: Leguminivora glycinivorella
Lineage: Eukaryota; Metazoa; Arthropoda; Insecta; Lepidoptera; Tortricidae
Exons: 2
Source: RefSeq, a predicted model, not a curated record